GCGUAUAGGAAGAAAAUUUAUUUCGGAGC
RNAcentral lists this small RNA (29 nucleotides) under Bombyx mori (domestic silkworm). RNAcentral's name for it is "ovarian small RNA-16980". The record is from RNAcentral. Lineage: Eukaryota; Metazoa; Arthropoda; Insecta; Lepidoptera; Bombycidae.